GCUGGAUGUGUUGGCACGUGCCUGUAGUGCCAGCUAUUCAGGAGACUGAGGCAGGAGGAUCACUUGAGCCCAGUUCUGAGCUGGGCACUGUGCCAUUCAGGUGUCCACACUAAAUUCAGCAUCAAUAUGGUGACCUCCCGGGAGUGGGAGACCACCAGGUUGCAGUUGCCUAAGGAGGGGUAAACCGGCCCACAUCAGAAACAGAGCAGGUCACAACUACCAUGCUGAUCAGUAGAGGGAUCACAUCUGUGAAUAGCCACUGCACCACAGCCUGGACAACACAGUGAGACCCCAUCUCGU
RNAcentral lists this signal recognition particle RNA (300 nucleotides) under Propithecus coquereli (Coquerel's sifaka). RNAcentral's name for it is "Metazoan signal recognition particle RNA (ENSPCOG00000001787.1)". It matches the Rfam family "Metazoan signal recognition particle RNA". Rfam says of the family: The signal recognition particle (SRP) is a universally conserved ribonucleoprotein. It is involved in the co-translational targeting of proteins to membranes. Lineage: Eukaryota; Metazoa; Chordata; Mammalia; Primates; Indriidae. The record is from Rfam by way of RNAcentral.